AGAGUUUGAUCCUGGCUCAGAUUGAACGCUGGCGGCAUGCCUUACACAUGCAAGUCGAACGACGGCAGGGGGCAACUCCUGUCGAGUGGCGAACGGGUGAGUAAUACAUCGGAACGUGUCCUGUCGUGGGGGAUAACCAGUCGAAAGACUGGCUAAUACCGCAUGAGAUCGAAGGAUGAAAGCGGGGGACCGCAAGGCCUCGCGCGAUAGGAGCGGCCGAUGCCGGAUUAGCUAGUUGGUGGGGUAAAAGCCUACCAAGGCGACGAUCCGUAGCUGGUUUGAGAGAACGACCAGCCACACUGGGACUGAGACACGGCCCAGACUCCUACGGGAGGCAGCAGUGGGGAAUUUUGGACAAUGGGCGCAAGCCUGAUCCAGCCAUGCCGCGUGUGUGAAGAAGGCCUUCGGGUUGUAAAGCACUUUCGGACGGAACGAAAUCGCGCGGGCGAAUAUCCCGCGUGGAUGACGGUACCGUAAGAAGAG
This 483-nucleotide ribosomal RNA is filed under the name uncultured Cupriavidus sp. RNAcentral's name for it is "bacterial SSU rRNA". It matches the Rfam family "Bacterial small subunit ribosomal RNA", at positions 8 to 489 of the family's 1533-position model. Lineage: Bacteria; Pseudomonadati; Pseudomonadota; Betaproteobacteria; Burkholderiales; Burkholderiaceae. The record is from RNAcentral.